AAGCCCUUUCGGGGUACACGAGCGGCGAACGGGUGAGUAACACGUGGGUGAUCUGCCCUGCACUUCGGGAUAAGCCUGGGAAACUGGGUCUAAUACCGGAUAUGACCUCCUAUCGCAUGGUGGGUGGUGGAAAGAUUUAUCGGUGCAGGAUGGGCCCGCGGCCUAUCAGCUUGUUGGUGGGGUAAUGGCCUACCAAGGCGACGACGGGUAGCCGACCUGAGAGGGUGACCGGCCACACUGGGACUGAGACACGGCCCAGACUCCUACGGGAGGCAGCAGUGGGGAAUAUUGCACAAUGGGCGAAAGCCUGAUGCAGCGACGCCGCGUGAGGGAUGACGGCCUUCGGGUUGUAAACCUCUUUCAGCAGGGACGAAGCGCAAGUGACGGUACCUGCAGAAGAAGCACCGGCUAACUACGUGCCAGCAGCCGCGGUAAUACGUAGGGUGCAAGCGUUGUCCGGAAUUACUGGGCGUAAAGAGUUCGUAGGCGGUUUGUCGCGUCGUUUGUGAAAACCAGCAGCUCAACUGCUGGCUUGCAGGCGAUACGGGCAGACUUGAGUACUGCAGGGGAGACUGGAAUUCCUGGUGUAGCGGUGAAAUGCGCAGAUAUCAGGAGGAACACCGGUGGCGAAGGCGGGUCUCUGGGCAGUAACUGACGCUGAGGAACGAAAGCGUGGGUAGCGAACAGGAUUAGAUACCCUGGUAGUCCACGCCGUAAACGGUGGGCGCUAGGUGUGGGUUCCUUCCACGGAAUCCGUGCCGUAGCUAACGCAUUAAGCGCCCCGCCCGNGGCAGAACGACANGCAAGUCUAA
This 812-nucleotide ribosomal RNA is filed under the name Rhodococcus erythropolis. Its description in RNAcentral is "bacterial SSU rRNA". It matches the Rfam family "Bacterial small subunit ribosomal RNA", at positions 73 to 898 of the family's 1533-position model. The record is from RNAcentral. Lineage: Bacteria; Bacillati; Actinomycetota; Actinomycetes; Mycobacteriales; Nocardiaceae.